AACGAACGCUGGCGGCAUGCCUAACACAUGCAAGUCGAACGAGACCUUCGGGUCUAGUGGCGCACGGGUGCGUAACGCGUGGGAAUCUGCCCCUCGGUUCGGAAUAACACAGAGAAAUUUGUGCUAAUACCGGAUAAUGACUUCGGUCCAAAGAUUUAUCGCCGAGGGAUGAGCCCGCGUAAGAUUAGCUUGUUGGUGGGGUAAUGGCCUACCAAGGCGACGAUCUUUAGCUGGUCUGAGAGGAUGAUCAGCCACACUGGGACUGAGACACGGCCCAGACUCCUACGGGAGGCAGCAGUGGGGAAUAUUGGACAAUGGGCGAAAGCCUGAUCCAGCAAUGCCGCGUGAGUGAUGAAGGCCUUAGGGUUGUAAAGCUCUUUUACCAGGGAUGAUAAUGACAGUACCUGGAGAAUAAGCUCCGGCUAACUCCGUGCCAGCAGCCGCGGUAAUAGUCAUGUCG
Molecule: ribosomal RNA, 460 nt
Filed under: uncultured bacterium
Lineage: Bacteria
Description: bacterial SSU rRNA
Rfam family: Bacterial small subunit ribosomal RNA
Source: RNAcentral